GUGGGGAAUUUUGGACAAUGGGCGCAAGCCUGAUCCAGCCAUGCCGCGUGCGGGAAGAAGGCCUUCGGGUUGUAAACCGCUUUUGGCAGGAACGAAACGGCGACUCCUAACACGGGUCGCUAAUGACGGUACCUGCAGAAUAAGCACCGGCUAACUACGUGCCAGCAGCCGCGGUAAUACGUAGGGUGCAAGCGUUAAUCGGAAUUACUGGGCGUAAAGCGUACGCAGGCGGCUUUGCAAGACAGGUGUGAAAUCCCCGGGCCUAACCUGGGAACUGCAUUUGUGACUGCAUGGCUAGAGUCUGUCAGAGGGGGGUGGAAUUCCACGUGUAGCAGUGAAAUGCGUAGAGAUGUGGAAGAACACCGAUGGCGAAGGCAGCCCCCUGGGAUAAGACUGACGCUCAUGUACGAAAGCGUGGGGAGCAAACAGGAUUAGAUACCCGGGUAGUCC
RNAcentral lists this ribosomal RNA (450 nucleotides) under uncultured bacterium. Its description in RNAcentral is "bacterial SSU rRNA". It matches the Rfam family "Bacterial small subunit ribosomal RNA", at positions 354 to 796 of the family's 1533-position model. The record is from RNAcentral.